GCUUUUAUAUGGCAGGGGGGUCACCAUGAUCAGGCAGGUGGUUUUCACAGGGCAAGGUUCAUCUCCUGCACUCUUGAUGUGUCGACUCCUGAAAUAUCCCCAAAUUUGGGAAAUUUGACUGCAUAAUUUUUGAUAAUGGGAGACUGCAUUCAUGCUAAA
Molecule: non-coding RNA, 159 nt
Organism: Colius striatus (speckled mousebird)
Lineage: Eukaryota; Metazoa; Chordata; Aves; Coliiformes; Coliidae
Source: Rfam